AACGAACUCUGGCUGCAUGCCUAACACAUGCAAGUCGAACGAUACCUUCGGGUCUAGUGGCGCACGGGUGCGUAACGCGUGGGAACCUGCCCUUAGGUUCGGAAUCACUCCCCGAAAGGGGUGCUAAUACCGGAUAAUGUCUUCGGACCAAAGAUUUAUCGCCUUUGGAUGGGCCCGCGUUGGAUUAGCUAGUUGGUAGGGUAAAAGCCUACCAAGGCGACGAUCCAUAGCUGGUCUGAGAGGAUGAUCAGCCACACUGGGACUGAGACACGGCCCAGACUCCUACGGGAGGAAGGAGUGGGGAAUAGUGGAAAAUGGGCGAAAGACAGAACGAGCAAUGGCGCGUGAGGAAUGAAGAGGUUAGAGUUGUAAAGACCGUUUACCGGGGACGAUAAUGAAAGUACCGGGAGAAUAAGACCCGGCGAAAAAAGUG
This 433-nucleotide ribosomal RNA is filed under the name uncultured bacterium. RNAcentral's name for it is "partial 16S ribosomal RNA". It matches the Rfam family "Bacterial small subunit ribosomal RNA", at positions 29 to 507 of the family's 1533-position model. The record is from RNAcentral.